CAUUGCACAAAGUAUUAUAACACAAUUGAUUGAAUACAUUUUUUUAAAUUUUUUAACAAACUGUAUUAUUACACUUAAUACAUCAGGCCGUGUUCUAUGCACACUAAACAAUUUCUUCAAAUUAUGGACAGCAAAUCACAUGCAUGUUUAAUCAAAGUUUAUGCAAGUCUCGAUAUAGCAGUGGGCCCUAAAGCAGUAUAUUUGUGAGUUGUGAUUUCUAAUUUGAUUUUCUUUACAAUGAGUUUUGUAAAUAUUAAAUAAGUUUAAAGUUGGAAGGACUUCCAGUUGAACUCUGAGUUUACUGUUACCCAACAUGUGCACUCUUAUUUUUAUUUUAUUUUGAAUACUUUAAAAAUUUUAUUGUACAAAGAAAUGUUAAGACGCACUCUAAUCUUUUAGAGUAAAACUCAAAAUUUAGCUAUCUAAACCAAUCCUAGCUCACUCCAAUUCUUGGGUCAAAAUUGAGUUUUGGACAAAUUCUGGCCAGGAUUUGAGUUUGGGUUAGACCUAGUUUGGGAGUGAGGUGCUUAAAAAAAAAGCACAUAUGAAAAAAAGCUGUGAGGGUUUUAGGUGUUUGGUAAACUGAAAAAAAAGGGCUUAUUUUGGAAGCUG
Molecule: long non-coding RNA, 612 nt
Filed under: Malus domestica (apple)
Lineage: Eukaryota; Viridiplantae; Streptophyta; Magnoliopsida; Rosales; Rosaceae
Description: long non-coding RNA (MDOM_LNC003556)
Source: RNAcentral